RNAcentral lists this long non-coding RNA (1291 nucleotides) under Fukomys damarensis (Damara mole-rat). RNAcentral's name for it is "lncRNA (ENSFDAG00000030980.1)". The record is from RNAcentral. Lineage: Eukaryota; Metazoa; Chordata; Mammalia; Rodentia; Bathyergidae.
GUAUUGUGGAUAUUGUUAUACAUAAACACAUAUAUAGAUACACUAUUUUUUGUAAUUGAACUCUUCAUCCAGAAUCAUUUAUUACUCAUUUGCUCCGUUUUUAUUAUGCUAGGUGCUUGGAAUCCAUAGAUGCCACGUGGUUUCUGCUCUGCUCUCAAAGGAUUCUUAAUUUGCUGAAGGGGGGAGAAGGAAGCAAAUGGUUACAACCCAGAUGCUGUGAACAUGAUGGAACUUCAUGCGACCGCAUGGGUGUUGUCUGUCAGCCAUGUGCUGCAGGGCUCCAGUGCUGCUGCCCUGUGGACUGGCCUCCCGGAAGCUCCCACAAAUGAGUUCUGCAAAUGGACUUCCAAAAUCAAUAGGCUGCAGAAAUCUAUCUGGCCUGCAAAACCUUCCUUGGUCCCCUUCACAUCCACCAAUGCCCCUGGCUCUCACUCCGCUGUUCGUACUCCCCUCUACCCCACACUGCUGGGCAGGCACAACACGGGCCUGUGAAAUGAUACCAGAGGUGAGCAGUAAGAAAAGGGGGGUGGAAAAUAAAGCUCUUUGGGACUUGAGCUGGCCUUCUGUGCUCAUGCCAGCCCAAGCUGUUGAGAGCUUCUCCUCUUCGGAUGUGGUCCCAGAGCACUGACCAUCUUCCACUUACUGUCCGAGUCUUGCUUUACAAUAUUAAAGGCUACCACUUAAGCAAAUGUUGAUUUCCAGGCCUGGUUCUCUAAACUUUAGAAUCAUUUAUCCCCCUUCCCUUUAUUUUGUUUGCAUACCAGCCCUGAAGGGAUUGUCCCUGCCUUACAAAGGAGGACCCUGAGAUUCAGAGAGGUAAUAGACUUACUUGCUCAAGUCAAAAGUUGAGCAUGGCUCAGCUGGGAAUCUAACCCAUUGCUGGUUUUACUAAAGUAAAAUUCAAUUCUUAGGGCUGCAUUUUACCACAAAGAUAGCAGUAGGUUGUUGGGAGUGAGCUGUACAUUUCUAAUGUGGCAGGCAAUUGGAAAUAUCCAUGCUAAGAAUGACAAGCAUGUUGCAAUGUUUACGGAAAAUGAGACACUGUGAUUAAAGACUGCUCCGUGGAACUAAUCGCCAGGAUUUUUGUAUUGUGGUUCAAAAGAGGAAAUGAAACCAACAGCCCUGGAGACAUGGAAGACCGUCUAUUCCACUCUAACCAGGGGUGGUUGUCAAAGGAAACUGCCAUUUUGUCUUGCUAACUUGACCUGAAAGUUAAUUAAGAAUUUACAACCACGCUACCAAUUGAUUUUGCACUAUCUGCCACAAUAGUGAGCUUUCUGAUUAAAAUGGC